AUGGCUGAAAAUGGUGGUGUUGGACAAGAAAAGAAAGUGGGGGUGGAUGCAAAGAUGAACGGAGCUUCUGUGGACGAUGAUAAUAAUUCAGGUAAUGAAUCAGCGAAUGUCCUUGCUGGCUUACUGCCUACAACGAAGAGGAAGGAGAUGGGUUGGCCUACCACGAGUCGAGAGAAAGCGCCUUACAAAGGUCUGAAUAAGAGAACAAGAUUCUGUACAAUAUGCCGACGAGAGGCGCAUAAACGAACAACCUGCCCUGAUCGCGGCGACAUGCCAAACAGCCUCGGAAGCCUAGGAGAUGCAAGAAUUGUGGUGUUGAAGGGCAUUGUAGGAACAACUGCCACAAAGCGGCCGAGCUCAGGCUGA
Molecule: ribosomal RNA, 366 nt
Filed under: Triticum aestivum (bread wheat)
Lineage: Eukaryota; Viridiplantae; Streptophyta; Magnoliopsida; Poales; Poaceae
Description: partial small subunit ribosomal RNA
Source: RNAcentral